Molecule: long non-coding RNA, 2438 nt
Filed under: Lynx pardinus (Iberian lynx)
Lineage: Eukaryota; Metazoa; Chordata; Mammalia; Carnivora; Felidae
Source: RNAcentral
AACCAGGAGGGUCUGCAAGCCGCAUGUGAGCCCAUUGCCUUUUCCGGAUGCUGGUGGAGGUGGAGACAGACUGCGGACCCGCAGAAUGAGGCUAACAGUGUUGAUGGUGGCCCCGCCCUCAGGGUCCUGGCCCUGCCAACCGUGAAAAAGUUCCAGGGGACCAGAAGUCUUAGACUGGCUACUACCCACGACCACUCACUCGAGACCUGCCGAUCUUUGGUGUCAUUGACAGUUAUCGGAGGGGUGAAAUUUGGGCCAGGGACCCCUCCCCCUUGUCCCAAUGGAGAGGCCCAUUUCUCCCACAUACAGAAAGGUAACCCAGAGGGACGCAGGUCAGUCACUUCAGGAUUUAUUGCAACACUUGAUUUGGGUCACCAUCACCUGGUAUGGUUAAGCCUGUGGGUAGGUCCUUGAGACACAGCCUCAAUGGCCAUGUGUGGUAUGGCCCAACAGCAGGUUCUGGAUUUGUAUUAGGUGAAAAUCAGGCUGGCUGAUCCCUCUGUUUGCAUUGGGAAUUCCCCAACUUUCUGGCAUUAGGAACAGCAGAGUUCAGGAUGGUCAAGUCUGUGUGUUUGUGUUUCUAAUACAUGGACAGGGAUCUCGGUCCCACAGCAGGUCAGCCCAGUUGCCACCCACUGCUGCUCAGCCAGGCACGACGCGUGAUAUGUUCUUAGGCCACAGUGCUAGUCCUAGGAGUGAAGAUUGUCCCCCUGGCCUGUACCCGCCCCCUUGGAAGUGGUGUUCCCAGCCCAGGUGUCAGGACACCAUGAAAUCAUUGUGCCCAUUUCAGCGGCUGUAACCGCCUCUCCACCUGUACCUACUGCACCCAGAAGUGUGUCCAAGAGGGUCAUUGCCAGAGGACCAGGGACUUUCCGUGGGCCCACGUGCCUUAGGAAGGCAGUCUGGUCACUGAAUGUGCCAUUCCCAGAAAGGAAACCUGUCUCUGCCACUUCUGGGUAAUGAUGGGACAGAGGGGUGGAAAGUUACAUGAACUCUUCCAGAUUCCAGCCUGAGCAUGGUGCUUUCUGUCUUCUAACAGCAACCACAGGCCAGCCGAAAAGGGCCAGAGGAUUCAACCUAAGUCUUCUUCACCUGGAUUCUCUCUUUGGAUUGAUAUGGUUCUAGAUCAGGAGCUGACAGAUUAUAGCGUAUGGGCAAAAUGCAGUUUGCUGUCUGUUUAUGCAGCCUGUGAAAAUAUGUACGAGGCCAUUAGACUGGGUGACUCUCAUGCCUUGGGAACUACACAAGCAGAUCAGAAGCUAAGCCAGAGUCCGUUCCUGUAAAUGCACUCCUAUCUGAGAAAAUGAAAUUUAAGAACACCUAAUCACAGUCAACUAGAUUUCCCCAAAUAAGGCACCUGCUUAAGCCAUAACCAGUCACACAGUUUCCCAGUUUUGCUCCUGCGUCUAUAAACAGCUCUCCCUUUUCUCCUGCCAGCACAGCACUCCUGAUGUCUCAGUGUGGUCCUGCCUGGCUCCAGGCAGUGUUUGUUCAAACAUAAACUCUUCAAAAAUUUAAUGUACCUCAGUUUACCUCUUAAAAGGCCUAAAAGCUAAGAAGGGUUUUUACAUUUUUAAAUGGGAAAAAUGACUAUUUUAUGACGUUUGAAAAGUAUGUUGAAAUCACAUUUCAGUGUGACCAAAUAAAGUUUAUUGGAACAGAGCUGGCCCUUUUGUGUGCAGGCUGGCUCUGCCCACUCUUGUAUUCAAGGGCCAAGUUCACACUUGCUGGUCUUGCCUGGUUAACUUGGGUAAAAUCUUCAUGCCCUCCAACCUUUGAGGAAUUACUUUUCCUCUCAACUCUUAGUGCGGUUUGUUCAUAUAAAUGUCCCAAUACAACCAGGAAUUCGAUAGAAACCACUCUAGAGUUUACAUUCCAGUCUAGAGCCUCCCCUGCACAAGUGUAGGGUGAGGAGUCCUUAGCUGCAUCCACGUGAGACAUGGGACACUGGCCUGCCCGGCAAGACUUUGUGAAAUCAAGCUGCCUCAGCACCUAAAAUGCCUGGAGCCCUUGAAGAGCAUCUGUGCGUGUCCUGUGAGCUGGUGGCCCUUUGGCAGAGGGGGUGGAGGAGGGCCACCUGUGGGAUAGUGCAAGGUUUUGGGCAUUCUGUUCUACUUUAAAAGGUAUUUUCCAACAUGGGCUUCAGUAGAUGUAACAGUGAACGUUUUUAAGAAUACCCAGAACUCUAUUUCAGAGUAGAUAUUAAAAUACCUUGGAUUUUUUUUUUUUUUGAAGCAAUAAGCUCAUAAUUUUGACUUGAAACUACUUUUUACUCAAUCAGGCUAAGCUUUGAUUCAUGACAUUGGAUUGGAACCACCAAGCUUCCUGGAAGCUUCACAAAGGUGUGGGGGGUGCAGAGCCCAGGUGAGUUUACACAGUGUGCGUGGCGUGCACUCAGAACCUAGGAAAUUUUGUCGCACGAAUGAAUGCUGCAUUUG